This 406-nucleotide ribosomal RNA is filed under the name uncultured bacterium. Its description in RNAcentral is "partial 16S ribosomal RNA". It matches the Rfam family "Bacterial small subunit ribosomal RNA", at positions 30 to 526 of the family's 1533-position model. The record is from RNAcentral.
AUUGAACGCUGGCGGCAGGCCUAACACAUGCAAGUCGAGCGAGGGGCGGACGGGUGAGUAAUAUAUGGGAACUUGCCCGGUGGCGGGGGAUAACUACUGGAAACGGUGGCUAAUACCGCAUACUAUUGGAUCAACCCAUAUGGGAUUAGCUAGUAGGUGGGGUAAAGGCUCACCAAGGCAACGAUCCCUAGCUGGUGUGAGAGGAUGAUCAGCCACACUGUGACUGAGACACGGCCCAGACUCCGACGUGAGGCAGCAGUGGGGAAUUUUGGACAAUGGGGGCAAGCCUGAUCCAGCCAUGCCGCGUGUAUGAUGAGGGCCUUCGGGUUGUAAAGUACUUUUAGCAGGGAAGCGUUACCUGCAGAAUAAGCACCGGCUAACUCCGUGCCAGCAGCCGCGGUAAUAC